Molecule: ribosomal RNA, 253 nt
Filed under: uncultured bacterium
Lineage: Bacteria
Description: partial 16S ribosomal RNA
Rfam family: Bacterial small subunit ribosomal RNA
Source: RNAcentral
UACGGAGGGUGCAAGCGUUAUCCGGAUUCACUGGGUUUAAAGGGUGCGUAGGCGGGCCGGUAAGUCAGUGGUGAAAUCUCCGGGCUUAACCCGGAAACUGCCAUUGAUACUAUCAGUCUUGAAUACCGUGGAGGUAAGCGGAAUAUGUCAUGUAGCGGUGAAAUGCUUAGAUAUGACAUAGAACACCAAUUGCGAAGGCAGCUUACUACCCGAAUAUUGACACUGAGGCACGAAAGCGUGGGGAUCAAACAGG